GCACGGUAGAUUAGCCGGUGGCUUCUUCUGCGAAGAUAACGAUCACAGAUUGCUGGGAUAUUAGCCAACAACCUUUCCUCCUCGCUGAAAGUGCUUUACAACCCGAAGGCCUUCUUCACACACGCGGCAUGGCUGCAUCAGGGUUUCCCCCAUUGUGCAAUAUUCCCCA
Molecule: ribosomal RNA, 169 nt
Filed under: uncultured bacterium
Lineage: Bacteria
Description: partial 16S ribosomal RNA
Source: RNAcentral